Molecule: transfer RNA, 86 nt
Filed under: Caudoviricetes sp.
Lineage: Duplodnaviria; Heunggongvirae; Uroviricota; Caudoviricetes
Description: tRNA-Leu
Rfam family: tRNA
About the family: Transfer RNA (tRNA) molecules are approximately 80 nucleotides in length. Their secondary structure includes four short double-helical elements and three loops (D, anti-codon, and T loops).
Source: RNAcentral
GUCCGAAUGGUGGAACUGGAAGACACGACAGACUUAAAAUCUGUUGACCAGAAAUGGUCGUGCGAGUUCGAUUCUCGUUUCGGGCA